GUCCUCGUAGCUUAAACCCAAAGCAUGACACUGAAGUCGUCAAGAUGGUUGAUCACGCACCCGAGAACA
This 69-nucleotide transfer RNA is filed under the name Pteroglossus azara flavirostris (yellow-billed aracari). RNAcentral's name for it is "tRNA-Phe". Lineage: Eukaryota; Metazoa; Chordata; Aves; Piciformes; Ramphastidae. The record is from RNAcentral.